This 1173-nucleotide long non-coding RNA is filed under the name Homo sapiens (human). RNAcentral describes it as "HSALNT0038275". The record is from RNAcentral. Lineage: Eukaryota; Metazoa; Chordata; Mammalia; Primates; Hominidae.
UCCUGACCUCGUGAUCCGCCCACCUCGGCCUCCCAGAGUGCUGGGAUUACAGGUGUGAGCCACUGCACCUGGCCACGUGUAUCACCUUUUUGAUAUUGUCCUUGAUGAGUCCCUGAAGCUCUUUCCUUUUUCCUUGUUUUCUUUCCCCCCAAUUUCAGAAUGAAUAAUUUCUACUGCUUGGCCUUUAUUUUCAUUUAUCUGGUGAUAUUUCCUUUAUUAUCAAUUACAGGUCUAUGUUAAUACUCAUUGUUGAUUGGAAGUCUUUAUCUUAUAAUUCCAGCAUUUGGGUCAUGUUAGAAUUGCCUUCUGUUGAGUGUCUUCUCCCAGGAGAAUGGGUUAUGUUUUCCUGGUUCUUCCUAUGUGAAGUAAUUUUGGUUUGUAUGAAUAUAACACUCUUGUUUAUUCGUUCUCUUGUUAAACAUUUGUUUUUCUUCCAGUUUUGGGUCUUUAUGAACUAUUCUGUUGUGAACAUACAUGUACACAAUUGUGUGGACAACUGUUUUUAUUUUUCUUGUUUCUAGUAGAUUCUAACUAGAGGUAGAAUUCCUGGGUCAGAUGGUAAGUGAUAGUUAAAUUGUUUUCGUAAGUGGCUGCAUCAUUUUGCAUUCUAACUAGUAAUGUUUUUUAUUUUGUUGUUGUUGUUAUACAACCCUCCCUCCAACUAGUAAUGUUUGAAAGCACCUCAGUGCACUUUUAAUUUGCAUUUUAAAAAUCCCAUGGAGUUGAGUCUCUUUUCAUUUAAUAACCAUUUCUGUUGUUCUGGGAAUGGUUAGUGUCUUUUUGCCUUUCCUUCUUUUGUUUCCUCCCUUCCUGUCCUUCCCUCCCUUGUCAUUAACAUCUAGGUACCCUUUAUAUGUUAAAGAGAUUAUAUCUGUCUAGAUAAUUUGUGUAGAUAAUUUUUCUCUGUUACUCAUUUUUCUUUUGGCUACUUUGGGUGUGUUUUUGUAAAGAAGUUUUUAAUUUUUACAUAGUUGAAAUAACCUUUUAUAGUGUAUGGGUUUUAAGUUAUAGUUAGAAAGUCUCCUGCACUCCAGGGUUAUAAACUAUAUCACAUUUUCUUUUAAACUUUAUAUUUGAUACAUUUAGAUUUAUCCUGCUUUAACAUGUGCGGUAGGUAUCCAGUAUUAUUUUCUUGGUGGUAACUGCUGAGGCUGGCAGGUCACGAGGUCAGGA